AGAGUUUGAUCAUGGCUCAGGGUGAACGCUGGCGGCGUGGAUAGGGCAUGCAAGUCAAGGGGGGCCUUCGGGUCAACCGGCAGACGAGAUCAGUAACACGUAGGUACGUACCUCGAAGUCAGGAAUAGCUCAUCGAAAGGUGAGGUAAUACCUGAUGGUCCCGCAAGGGUAAAGAUUUAUCGCUUCGAGAGCGGCCUGCGCACUAUCAGCUUGUUGGUAAGGUAAUGGCUUACCAAGGCUACGACGGUUAGGGGGGGUGAGAGCCUGUUCCCCAUCGAUGGAACUGAGACACGGUCCAUACUCCUACGGGAGGCUGCAGUCGAGAAUAUUCCGCAAUGGGCGAAAGCCUGACGGAGCGACGCCGCGUGCAGGAUGAAGGCCUUUGGGUCGUAAACUGCUUUUAUGAGGGAGGAAGUCAUUGACGUUACCUCAUGAAUAAGGAGCUCCUAAUUCCGUGCCAGCAGGAGCGGUCAUACGGAUGCUUCAAGCGUUACCCGGAAUCACUGGGCGUAAAGGGUGUGUAGGUGGUAGUAUUAGUCUUCUGUUAAAGAUCCAGGCUCAACCUGGGGAGUGCAGAGGAAACGGUACAACUAGAGGACAGGAGAGGUGUGCGGAACUCACGGUGUAGGGGUGAAAUCCGUUGAUAUCGUGGGGAACACCAAAAGCGAAGGCAGCACACUGGCCUGCUCCUGACACUGAGACACGAAAGCGUGGGUAGCGAAUGGGAUUAGAUACCCCCGUAGUCC
This 746-nucleotide ribosomal RNA is filed under the name uncultured soil bacterium. RNAcentral describes it as "bacterial SSU rRNA". It matches the Rfam family "Bacterial small subunit ribosomal RNA", at positions 8 to 796 of the family's 1533-position model. The record is from RNAcentral.